AGCGAACGCUGGCGGCAGGCCUAACACAUGCAAGUCGAACGAACCUUUCGGGGUUAGUGGCGGACGGGUGAGUAACACGUGGGAACGUGCCUUUAGGUUCGGAAUAACUCAGGGAAACUUGUGCUAAUACCGAAUGUGCCCUUCGGGGGAAAGAUUAAUCGCCUUUAGAGCGGCCCGCGUCUGAUUAGCUAGUUGGUUGAGGUAAUGGCUCACCAAGGCGACGAUCAGUAGCUGGUCUGAGAGGAUGAUCAGCCACAUUGGGACUGAGACACGGCCCAAACUCCUACGGGAGGCAGCAGUGGGGAAUCUUGCGCAAGGGGCGAAAGCCUGACGCAGCCAGGCCGCGUGAAUGAUGAAGGUCUUAGGAUUGUAAAAUUCUUUCACCGGGGACGAUAAUGACGGUACCCGGAGAAGAAGCCCCGGCUAACUUCGU
Molecule: ribosomal RNA, 433 nt
Filed under: uncultured bacterium
Lineage: Bacteria
Description: partial 16S ribosomal RNA
Rfam family: Bacterial small subunit ribosomal RNA
Source: RNAcentral